This 73-nucleotide transfer RNA is filed under the name Crocosphaera chwakensis CCY0110. RNAcentral's name for it is "Cyanothece sp. CCY0110 tRNA-His". It matches the Rfam family "tRNA". Rfam says of the family: Transfer RNA (tRNA) molecules are approximately 80 nucleotides in length. Their secondary structure includes four short double-helical elements and three loops (D, anti-codon, and T loops). Further hydrogen bonds mediate the characteristic L-shaped molecular structure. tRNAs have two regions of fundamental functional importance: the anti-codon, which is responsible for specific mRNA codon recognition, and the 3' end, to which the tRNAs corresponding amino acid is attached (by aminoacyl-tRNA synthetases). tRNAs cope with the degeneracy of the genetic code in two manners: having more than one tRNA (with a specific anti-codon) for a particular amino acid; and 'wobble' base-pairing, i.e. permitting non-standard base-pairing at the 3rd anti-codon position. Lineage: Bacteria; Bacillati; Cyanobacteriota; Cyanophyceae; Chroococcales; Aphanothecaceae. RNAcentral also lists the same sequence under 1 other name. The record is from RNAcentral.
GCGAGCGUAGCCAAGUGGUUAAGGCACCGGGUUGUGGUCCCGGCACUCGUGGGUUCAAGUCCCAUCGUUCGCC